UUUUAAUUUUCUCCAGGACAAACCCAUGAGAUGUCAAAUUGGGCUUUUAAGGUGCUCAGCAACAUUUCCAAGGUCAUGGAUCCAGAUCUGGCAAAAGUCCCAGUUAUCUCUGGAUAUAUCCUCAGUUAUAUAAAAGGAUAAAAGAUCAAUAAGGGUGCCUAAGUACAACUUCCAAGCAAAGAAGAUUCUUUUCAUUAAAAGCCAAGGCCAAAUUCCAAAAACCAAGCUUCAGUUUCUCUUAUUUUGUUUCUUUGAGUUAAGCCCAAGCUCAUAGGUCAUAUUUUGACACAAACAUUGGCCUUUUGGUCAUGAGAAACAGCAAACAUGCAUUACAAGUUCUUAGGUGACGCUGAUGCUGCUGGUUGAGGAACCACACUUUGAAAACCUUUAUGCCACAAAACACCCAAUCUUUGCCAGAGCCGAGGCUCCAUGACCAUUCAAGAAGAAUUUGCAGUGAGGUCAACAGGGACCUUGCAGAGUUUGAAAGAACUGGAAAGAAAAAGUGCACCUAAUUUCCACUCAACGUUUGGAUGUCAAGAUGGUGAUUAGCUAACAUAGAAAACACAAAGCUGAGAUGAUUGCAACCCUAACAAGAGAAACAGAGUCCAGAGAGCCCAUCUCCACCUCUUCUUUCAUGUGCCUGCAACCUGACUUCACCACUUGACAAAGCCUUGGGAUGAAGAGUUAAAAAUUAUAGAGUCAAUGCCUCCCAGAAGUCUAGAGCCAGAAAUAAUAUCCAGAUUCCACCUGGUCCAUUUAAUAAAUG
Molecule: long non-coding RNA, 766 nt
Filed under: Felis catus (domestic cat)
Lineage: Eukaryota; Metazoa; Chordata; Mammalia; Carnivora; Felidae
Description: lncRNA (ENSFCAG00000053287.1)
Source: RNAcentral